Molecule: transfer RNA, 76 nt
Filed under: Deltaproteobacteria bacterium HGW-Deltaproteobacteria-20
Lineage: Bacteria; Deltaproteobacteria
Description: tRNA-Pro
Rfam family: tRNA
About the family: Transfer RNA (tRNA) molecules are approximately 80 nucleotides in length.
Source: RNAcentral
CGAGGUGUGGCCCAGCGGCAAGGGCGCCUGCUUUGGGAGCAGGACGGCGUGGGUUCGAUUCCCACCACCUCGACCC